CUAACACAUGCAAGUCGAACGGUACAGGAAGAAGCUUGCUUCUUUGCUGACGAGUGGCGGACGGGUGAGUAAUGUCUGGGAAACUGCCUGAUGGAGGGGGAUAACUACUGGAAACGGUAGCUAAUACCGCAUAACGUCGCAAGACCAAAGAGGGGGACCUUCGGGCCUCUUGCCAUCGGAUGUGCCCAGAUGGGAUUAGCUAGUAGGUGGGGUAACGGCUCACCUAGGCGACGAUCCCUAGCUGGUCUGAGAGGAUGACCAGCCACACUGGAACUGAGACACGGUCCAGACUCCUACGGGAGGCAGCAGUGGGGAAUAUUGCACAAUGGGCGCAAGCCUGAUGCAGCCAUGCCGCGUGUAUGAAGAAGGCCUUCGGGUUGUAAAGUACUUUCAGCGGGGGAGGAAGGGAGUAAAGUUAAUACCUUUGCUCAUUGACGUUACCCGCAGAAGAAGCACCGGCUAACUCCGUGCCAGCAGCCGCGGUAAUACGGAGGGUGCAAGCGUUAAUCGGAAUUACUGGGCGUAAAGCGCACGCAGGCGGUUUGUUAAGUCAGAUGUGAAAUCCCCGGGCUCAACCUGGGAACUGCAUCUGAUACUGGCAAGCUUGAGUCUCGUAGAGGGGGGUAGAAUUCCAGGUGUAGCGGUGAAAUGCGUAGAGAUCUGGAGGAUACCGGUGGCGAA
Molecule: ribosomal RNA, 681 nt
Filed under: uncultured Pseudomonadota bacterium
Lineage: Bacteria; Pseudomonadati; Pseudomonadota
Description: bacterial SSU rRNA
Rfam family: Bacterial small subunit ribosomal RNA
Source: RNAcentral